GACGAACGCUGGCGGCGUGCUUAACACAUGCAAGUCGAACGGAAAGGCCCUGCUUUUGUGGGGUGCUCGAGUGGCGAACGGGUGAGUAACACGUGAGUAACCUGCCCUUGACUUUGGGAUAACUUCAGGAAACUGGGGCUAAUACCGGAUAGGAGCUCCUGCUGCAUGGUGGGGGUUGGAAAGUUUCGGCGGUUGGGGAUGGACUCGCGGCUUAUCAGCUUGUUGGUGGGGUAGUGGCUUACCAAGGCUUUGACGGGUAGCCGGCCUGAGAGGGUGACCGGCCACAUUGGGACUGAGAUACGGCACAGACUCCUACGGGAGGCAGCAGUGGGGAAUAUUGCACAAUGGGCGGAAGCCUGCUGCAGAAACGCCGCGUGCGGGAUGACGGCCUUCGGGUUGUAAACCGCUUUCGCCUGUGACGAAGCGUGAGUGACGGUAAUGGGUAAAGAAGCACCGGCUAACUACGUG
Molecule: ribosomal RNA, 468 nt
Filed under: uncultured bacterium
Lineage: Bacteria
Description: partial 16S ribosomal RNA
Rfam family: Bacterial small subunit ribosomal RNA
Source: RNAcentral